CCACUUCUCCCAUCUGAUGACUGUUGCCAGACUAUCGUGCAUGCUGAUCUUGUCUGUGCAUGCUCGAAGGUUACUCCUGAUACCGAGAACAAUAUUAGUGUGCCUCUGGCAAUCAUGGUGGCUAGCUUCUGUGGUCAUCCUCUCCCUCAUGGAACUCACUGUGGAAGUGUUGUGGUUCCAUAAGCACUAUGGGAGAACGCGUGUUGAAUAAGAUGAUCAUGAUGGAUUCUAUGUAGAGAGAGAGAGAGUAACGCCCCGCCCCGGAAUCCCGGAGUCGGGGCUGUUUGUUUGC
Long non-coding RNA from Asparagus officinalis (garden asparagus), 292 nucleotides. RefSeq lists it as uncharacterized. The transcript is spliced from 3 exons. Lineage: Eukaryota; Viridiplantae; Streptophyta; Magnoliopsida; Asparagales; Asparagaceae. The record is from RefSeq and is a predicted model, not a curated record.